UCUCCUUGUUGUGCACGUCUUUGGGGCAGUAACUAUGAAUAAUGAAAGAUGAGAAAGUAUGAUUUUGGGACAGUGUAAACAAUCUUCCUUUUUCAAGGUGAAGAAACAGUUUCAGGGAGGCUUCUACAGUAGUGGCAGGAUUCCAAUCCAGAUCUUCCUGACUGCAACUCAUUCCACUCUAGCACAUUGCUUCCCUAAAGGCAGAGGAAGACACAAUGACUUAUUGUUGUCACUAUGUUCCACAAUAAAACAAAAUAUAUCGAAGUUUAAACUUGCAAAAAAGAUGAAUUGGAAUGUGCCUGGUUACAAAAGUAUUUUAUAGAGUUCCUAAAUGUUUAAGUUCCCCAAAUGAAUUUAAAAUACUUCCAAUAUUUAAAAAGAUUUAUGGAUUUUGUCCAUCAUUUAGCCUCAAGCCUUGAGAGGGACAGUAUCACAGUAGAGAGAGUAAUCUUGGGAGCCUGAAGACACAAUUACUACACAAAUGGGUGUAAGUCAAUCCUCACACAGUUUACUUUCUUCAUCUAUACAAUGGAGAUAAUUAUAUUCAUACAGCUUGCCUCAUAGGGUUGUUUUGAGGGGAGAAAAUCUUUGUGAAUCUUUGUUGUAUAAAUUAGAAUUUUAAAAAAUAUUUAAAAUUAUGGCUCUGGUCCUUCUCCAGUCACUCCCCUCAAAAUCUUCAUCUGGUGUCUGGCCAGUCUUCUGGUAAGAAGUUUCUGAAUUUAUUAACGAGGCUGAUCUUUGGACAGCUAAAAUACAACCUGUCACCAAUCCUGUUUUUAAAGACCAUUCCAGCUUGGCAGGUCCUGACAGAACUUGGACUCUUGGAUCACUAACAUGAAAAAGAUCUGGGGAUUUUAGUGGUCCUUAAGCCCAAUUAGAGUCAACUAGCAACUUUAGACUCCAUUUAGAAAUCCUUAGUUAAGGGCUUCUAAAUGGAGUCUAAAGCUGCUUUAGCUGUUUUAGUAAUUCAACUUAUACUAUGUCUUGGUUGGAGCCCAUUUGGAGUGUUGAGUUUAGCUCAAGGUGCCACAGGAUAAGAGGCACCCAUAGGCUAGAGGACUUCCCAAGUGGGGCAACCUAGACAGAAAGCUCCCUCCUAUUUCCAUAAUAACUCAUUUAAUUUUCCCUGAAGGACUUGGAGAUUUUUAGCACAAAGAGUAGACUAAGGGGACCCACAAUUAGUUGUUUUGAAAUAUUUAAAGUUCAGUCAUCAAGAAAGGGAAUUCAAAAUUUUCUUUCUGAUCUGAGAGAACAGAACUAAAAAGCAAAGGCCUGAAAAACUAGGAUUGAUGGAGGAAUAGAGAUAGGGACAGGAUCUAUGAUUUUAUGGGUGUAAGGAACUGUCAGGUGAGGAAACUUUCUCCAUCAAUGCAAGUCAGCAUCUUCUCUGCAACUUAAUGUCUCAGAGAAAUGUCUAGGGAAUUGAGAGGUUGGUUUGCCCACGGUCACAGAGCCAAUAUAUAUUACAAGCAGGCUUAAACUCAAGUCUAGGAUUUGAGGUCAGCUCAUAUAGAGCUCUUCAAAUGAUUAGAGCUCUCCAAAAGUGGAAGGGGUUCUCUUGGGAGGUUGGGGUCCUCCUCACUGGAGGUCUAUAAGCAAAAUUUGCUGGAUGUAUUGAACAGGGAUUUCUUUUCUUAAUCAAUAUGAGUAAAAUUAGGUAGCUAUUGAGGCCCUUUACAACUCAGAUUCUGUGAGUCUGUGACUUUACCAAAAGAAUUUAAAAUAUAAUGUGAUUUAGAGAUAACUUAUCAGCUCACUCCCUGGGUUACACAUAUGUAAAUGUAGAUAUAUCCUGUGAAGGGCUCCUCAGACUAUGAGUGUGCUGAUAAUUAUUAAGAGUUAAGAUUCUGGUGGGGGAAGAAAGGAGGGAUGUACAUGUGAUAUACUUUAAGAAGUUUAAUUUGUAUCAUUAAUACUUUCUUUAGCCUAGAAAUUAACAAAAUAAAUUUCAUCCAGAUUUGUAGUAAUUACUAAUUUCUGAGGUGUACAUGAUUACAAUGAAAAUUUAAUAAUUGGCUCUUUUUAAUUACAAGCUGCUUCCAGCACAUCCCUGCCUAUAUACUAUUUUAUAGUUCAGAGAAAGAAAUUUCAAAAUAAAUGAUCCAGUCCUUUCAACCAUAUCAGUUUAAUAUAACAGGAAUCUUGCUACUGAUCCUAUCAGCUGAUACAUUUUUUUUUUUUUCCUUUGGUACCGGCAAGAGCUAGGUUUGACUAUAAUCUUUUUGUGAGUCCAUUCAAAUACACUUCUGUCAAACCUCCUAAUCUUUUCAGCCCUUUUGCUUUCACAUAGUAUGGAGAGAUUAUUUUUAGGUUGCAGGUGGAUAGCAGUGGCAACCUAUUCCUUCAGAUUGCUCUGCUAUCAGUAAGGCUUAUCAAGUGAACUGGGUAUAAAUUUGUUUCCUACGUUAAUAUUGACUCUGUUCUCAUAGGAACAAUAUUAGCAGCUCAGAAAUAGAUUUAGAACAGAAAAGGACCUUGGAGAUUAUUUAAUCCAAUUCUUCUCAUUUUAUUGAGGAGUAAACUGAGGUGAGAAAUAAUUUGCCCAGAGUUACACAGAUAAUGAGAGAACUGUGAUUCGAACUCAGGUCUUGUUUCCAAAUCCAGAAUUCUAUCUUAACUAUACCAUCUUGUCUUUUGUUUUUUCUAGCCAGUCAAUAUGGCAUAGUGGUAGAAGGUUAGAUUUGGUGCCAGGAAGAGCUGGGUUCAAGUUUUCUUUAGUGGUGUGACCAAGGAAUCUUUCUAUGACUAUAAAUUCUAUAGUACCAGAAUUAUAGAUUACUAGGGGAAAUGAACUAUUUCCAUAACAGCUCAUUUGAUCUAAUGCUUUAUAUGACAUUAUGUUAUUUGAGUUCUGCUGUAAAGACCGCGUAUUUAAAGUCAGCCGGAGUCAGGAAUUCAGGUUAAGGGAAAAAUCUUCAAUAUUUAUUGAAGUGAAGAGGUGAAUAAAGAUUGCGAUAGCAAAUAUAGGCAAGAAAGAUUACGAUAGCAAAUAUAGGCAGUUGCGACAGGAAGCCAGCUAAGAGAGAGCGACGCGAGCCGAGCCAACCGUGGCAAUGGCAGUCCCAAAAGUCUCUCCUCCCCUUCCUUUUCCACUCCCCUGCCCCCACCCACCAAAAUCGUCAUUUCCUAUACAACACAUCAGGACUUGCACAAAGAGUGGGUGGGGGCCAUUCUUUCUCCAAGCUUAUAUAUUAAUAGAGUAUGGUCCAAUUACUAUUUAGCCUCAUGUGCUUGGGAUCUCAGUGCAUCAACUCAAGCCUCAGCCCAUUACAUUCUACAAACACCUGAGUGAAUUAUCCCCAUUUUAGGGAUGAGAAAACAGAGGCUUGGAGAGAUUAAAUGACUGGUGUUUGGCCAGUCUCAAACAGGAUCUGAAAUCAGGUCUUCCUGAUUUCAAAGCUCUCCAUCUAGACCAAUAAACAAGUGAAUAAAUAAAUUGAAAAUAAAGCAAAAGGAAAGACUAAGAGAGUGGAGGAGUUGGAGCCUGAGAGGGGGAGCAAUCAGAACUCUUCGUCCUAAGCAGUAACCUGGAGCACCCAUAUAAAGCUAAGAAAAUGGAAAGAGAUGGAAGGUCACUUGGCUGUCUGUACUAUCCCAAGCAUGGUCCAGGGAUUGCUUUUGAAAGCUAAGAAUGCUGUGUAUGCAAAGAUACUCCACCAAGUCCUAUUAUUCGAUAACAAAUCCAGCGCACAUUCCACCCAUGUGAAGAACACCAUAAAACUAAGCUGUCAUCUUCUCCAUCACAGAAACACCCAGGCAAGGCCUAACAAAGCAUUUUCGUAAGCUUAGGGCAUAGCUUGUUACUAUUCUUUGGAAAUUUUAAAUAUUUAUAUUUCAUUUUAUUCCUUACUAAUUUAAAACAGCCCCCAAAGGAAUUUGAGUCUUCUCCCUCACAGAAAAUACAAUAACCUGAUGCAAGACAGAGUGACUCAUUAUAAAAGCAAGUUUAAGAAUACAAUCGAUUAUGAUCUUCCUUUGCAGAGCAUAGAAGAGAUGGAACCAACCCUGCAAUUUUCACUCAGUAUUAGCUUUCGGACUCCAGGGGGUAGGGACGGAUGGGAAAAGCGAUGAGGUUUAUUUGUCUUGCCUGCUUAUAUUUUAAGCAAUAAUAUAUUCAGCUUCAUUCUAUUUUAAGAGUUCAAUUAUGUCUGUUUCAGGCAAAUUGAAAGCCAAUGGAAAAUUACAAAAGGAUUUCCCUCCCCCCCCCCCCCCCAAGAAAAGCCACCAUGCUUACAGAACCACAGUAUUUUUAUUUGUCUUUCCAAAAUCUAAAAUCAGCAGAACUAUUGUCUAAGGCUUCUUUCUUCAUAAACUGCAAAUGAAGGCACGGCAGACUUGGUGGCUAUUUUACUGCUAGCAGUGGGCACUAGUUAAUCCCAAUCUUUGUGGGCAGUGACCUAGAAUAAGGGCAGUGUUUUUUUUUUUUUAAUUGUUGUUGUUGUUGUUUUUUCUCUUCAUUUUUUUUUUUUUUUAACAUGAUGGAAUACUUUAAAGAGACUUGGGGGAAAAAGUAGGAAAGAUGUCAAGAUGAGUUUAUUAUGGUUAUAAAGGCAAAGGGAGAUCAGUAAGAGGGAGGAAAAACAGUGAAAGCCCUAUUUCUUCUUUGUCUAUUUGCUUUACCAUUUUAGAAACUCCCAGUGUGAUUUUAAAAUGUACAUAGAUAUGUAAUAGUCCAGAUUGGGCUAUAACCAAUGAAACUUAACUCCACUAAGCAACCUAAAACUAUUGACAAAUUUAUACAAAUCCUACCAUGCUACCCAGUUGACUCUUAAAAGCCAAAAAAUUCAAACCAAACCAAACCAAACAAAAAAAAAAUAAGAAAACAAACAAACAAAAAACCAAAAAACAACAAGGCAAAGAUUAAUUUAAUCAAUCUAACAAUUAUUAAACUGAAGAAAUGGAAAGAGAUAAAAGUCACUUGGUUAUCUAUAGUAUCCCUAGCAUGGGCAGCAUAGGCAAAGAACCAUGUUACUUGCAUUUCUUAUAUACCUCUCACUAAGAUCCGAUACAGUAUCAAGCACAUCACUGACACACAGAUGUGACAGUAACUCACAUUUAUAAAAUGUGCUUCCCUCAACAACUUUAUGAGGUACAUUCAUCCCAGUAUUAUUACCUCCAUAUCACAGGUGAGGAAACUGAGGCACAGAUUUGUUUAGUGAUGUAAAGCAUUUUAGUAAGGGGGAAAAACCACUGUAUUUGGAGUCAAGGAAUCUAUAUUUGAAAAUAGGCUGACAUUUUCUAUCUGUAUGACUUCAGGCAUGUGACUUCACCCCUCUGAGAUUCAGCUUCCUUGACUGUAAAUUGAGAUGGUUGGUUCUAAUGCCCUCUGAUUUUCCUUCCCUAUGCUCAAAUAAUGUCACAUGUCCAGAAAGGGGUCAAAUCCCUUCUUAUUCCUAGUAAGAGGGUUCUUCUGGUCCACUGACUCAUCUCUUCCUCAAGACCACCCUAUGUGUCAGUACAACCAUCUCCCAAGUCCUCUGACUCCAAAUUCAGUGUGCUUUCCACCACACCAAACUGCUUGUAAGUUGACUGACUGGCAUUUGGCUGUUGGAGUGAGACUGGGCCCCUGGAACGAUGUCAGAAUGUUUGACUGGAGUCCAAAAAAUCUGCACUGUUACCAAUCAACUGUGCAUGGCCUCUUGCUUCAGCUGCUCAUCAAAAAUUUAAGUGGAAUUAGGGAAGUAUGCAGGGCUUUUGUGUCACCUUCAACCCACAAAUAGUUUUUUUUUUUUUUUUUUUUUUUUUUUAAGGGAUUACCUUCUGUUUCCUCUCUACAGGAGCUGGAGGCAGCUAUCACCUGCCCAGGCACCCAGCCCAAAUCUGACAUCAUAGAUAACUCAGUCAGUAGUGCCCUGAAAACAGUGGGGACAUUUGAGAUUCCAAAGCCCAGCCCUUGAAGGCCAAAUAUGCCUUUUAGAGGCUGGCAGUCUUUGCAUUCUGUACAGGGAGGACUGGAGUUGUUUACAGAUGGAAAAUAAAAAAAGAACUAAAAACAAACACCAAAGUGCUAACAGCCAGCUGCUUUAGGGCUACCAAAAAGAUGCCAGGCUCUGUCUGACUCAUACAAGGACCUUCAGCAGGGUCACUGGAUCACCUUCUGCUGUCAUAAUCAGGCUCCCAUAGGCCAAGGAAAGGUGACAGUCGUGGAAGGGAUGGGUAAGAACAAAGUGGGCUUAAGGUGACCAAAAGACCAUUUGAUCCUGGCCUGGAUCUGAGCUUUUUUGGUAAACUGAAACUCCCUUCAGGCUCUUCCACACCAAUAGGAGAGAGGCACCUACUGUUUUCUAAGGGAGACUGAUACCAACUUAUCUUCCAGAUGAGACACAGUAAGAGCAUUCACAAGAACCACAGGGGGUGGAGGUGGAGGAAAACUGGAGAGGUUUCACUCAGGGGCAAUUCAAUCAGAGAAACCUACCUAAUACACUAAUACAAAUACAGGUGAACUUAAUAGCCUUCUCCCUGCUGAAGGAUAGGGAUAUGCAGAGAAGUCUGUUUAGAGAGAUGAGGAACCCAGAGGGUACCACUUGAAGAAUGUUCUACUCUUCUAGAAAAAUCAAUUUACACAUGGUUCAGAAAUGUAGCAAGUGUUAAAAUAGUGGACAAAGAGAAAGUUCCCUGGACAAGAGAGAAGCAUCUAAUUAGGAAAAAAAAGAUAGAACACACAUUUUGUAACUUGAGUUCCUAUAAGAUGGACUUUGACAUCAGAGAAAGAGGACACCAGAUAGGAUAGUUUUCCUUGUAAUUAAAUUGUUAUUGGAUCUUUUAUAAACAAGAGAUUUCUUAAUAGUACUCCCAAGUAAACUCCCUCUGUGACUACUCCUAUGUAUUUUCUUAAAAUAAAAAAAUCAAUAUAGUUUGUGCCUCUCACUCUCUUAGAAUAACCCCAGAGAUUAAAUAACUUGUCCUUCUUUACUGCAAGACAAAGAAAGGUUGAUCUGUUACAAACAACAAACAGAUGAGGGGCUCUGGAGGUUAAGCCUUCAAAAUAACCACAUUUUGCUGAUAGUUUUCUUAGGAUUGAGUGCCAAGCACUCAUCCAAAACAACCAUUUCAAAGGCUUGGAUAAUUAGAAACCUGGCUCAGAGACAAAACUCCCCAUCUCCACUGAUGCAAGGGACUAAAGAUGCUGAACAUAAGUGCAAACGGAAAUGACAAUAAUAAUAAUAUCUAUAUAUCAAUUUAAGGGUUUCAAUUGCAAUUUGGGUUUCAAUUUGCAAAUAUCUCAUUUUAUCCUCACAACCAACCUGAAAGGAAGAUGAAAAGAGAAUCAAAGAAUUUGAGUUGCAGAGUUCCUUGGAGAUCAUGAGGCAAUACCGUGUCCACACUUCUUCACAGACAACAGACCCAAUUCCAACCCCCUUUUCCCCUUCAUUUCAAUGGAAUGAAUUAUGAGAAAAUUCUACUGAGGCUCAGGGCUUCCAGACCACAUUACUACCUGUAUGAUCUUAGACUAAAUCAUUCCUUCUCUGGGGCUUAGUUUCAACAUGGCAAUCUUUGGAGGAAGGACCAGCCUUGAAAUCAGUUCUGCCUUGAACUGAAGACUUGCCUGUGACUUAUACUGUCUUUGUGAUCCUGCACAAGUCACUUGAACCUUUUAGUGAACCAGGAACUCUCCAAGACUAUAAAAUGACUGAUGACUGGCAGAUAGUCAUUGAUGCUGGGAAUAUACACACUGGCUAUUCCCCACCUGGUGAAAUCAGAUCCAGGGGCUCACUUCUUCAGAGAGAUAGGAUGGUUUUUAAAAAUCCUUUCCUGCUGGAAAUCUAAAAUCUUAUGAUCUUUUUUAUUAACUCUGACAGCAGGGUAGCCCCUGGACUUCAGAGAUUGACUAUCUGGGAUUAAGUUCUAGUUCUCGAUAGCUAUGUGACCCUGAGAAAAGUCACUUCACUGCUCUGUGCACCCAUUUCCUCAUCUAGAAGAUGGGAAGCCUUCACUACCUACACUUCACACAUGUUGAGGAAAAGUUGGUAUUUGAAUAUGACUUCUGGUUACUAAUAUAACAAGGUCAUAUAACAAGCAGAAAACAGGUGGCUGAUUUUUCUCCUCAAAGCAAAUGAGGUAUGAACUUAGAAUGAGACAGAAGGUUUACAGAAGAUUGGUGGGCUUUUUCACCCUUUCAAAUGGACUCAUUUUGAAAUGAUUUUUUU
Molecule: long non-coding RNA, 8147 nt
Organism: Antechinus flavipes (yellow-footed antechinus)
Lineage: Eukaryota; Metazoa; Chordata; Mammalia; Dasyuromorphia; Dasyuridae
Exons: 2
Source: RefSeq, a predicted model, not a curated record